Molecule: long non-coding RNA, 3870 nt
Organism: Dreissena polymorpha
Lineage: Eukaryota; Metazoa; Mollusca; Bivalvia; Myida; Dreissenidae
Exons: 2
Source: RefSeq, a predicted model, not a curated record
UUUAUCUCAAGUUUAUUUUGAAUUCGAUAAAUUUUCUAGCGGUAUACUAAACGUUGACACCAUUUUAAUUUUGCAACACGUGAUCCGACUUCGCAGAAGAAAUAUACUUUCGAUUUGUGAUAACGCCCACUGUUUCUGUUUAGAUAAUUACAUUUGGAGGUUCAUAGGAGCUUAAUAAAACGAGAUAACCGUUUUUUUCUGCAUUCACAAAUAGAAGAAUGACGGCUAUAGACGCAAUAGACAAAAUAGAACCAGGCGAUGGCAUUGUCUUCAAAUACUGGGGAAAAGAUCAUGAAGGAAUUGUUACCAGCGUCACAAUGGAUCCCAUAGAUCACAGAGUUGGAAUAAUCUAUAUAAUUCAUUACGCCUACAAAUUUCCGACUACAAAAACAAUAAUAGAUGAACGCUUUGUUUUCAAUCUUAGUCUACAAACAAUAAGAAAGAAAGUUUACAAGAUUGACGUGAAAUUAUUUGAUUUAGCCACCGUUGUAGAACGUGCAAGGGUGCGAUUAGGCGAAGGUCGCCAUGACAGAAGAAACAACAACUCUCGUCAUUUAGUAGAAUGGGCAAAGGUUGGCAAUGAUAGCGGAAUGCUUGUUGUGGACACAUACCUACACACCAACGGUAGCUUUUUGCGCAUAUACAACGCGUAUGCCUGGUCGGAUAUAGAAACGGGAUGUAUUCUCGAAUAUACAUAUCACGGGUUUAAACACCAUAGUGUGGUUACUAAGAUAUAUAAAGAGGCCGACAGAAUACAAGUGAUUCAUUAUGGUUUUGCCCAUAUAGUUGGUACGCAAAGUGUCGUGCAGGAAGUCAUACAACUUGAUUUCAAAACAGACAACAUAAGGAUAUAUCGGUGUGUCCCAGCAUUCACCCACAAUGAACCAGACGUUGUUGUAGAAAAAGCAAAAGGAAGACUCGGUGAGCAAAGAUGGAGCAUUGCUACCAACUCAGGCUUGACAUUCUGCAUGUGUUGUCUGUUCAACUAAAUUAAAGGAAUGAGCAGGAUAACCAUGCAUGUAUAUAAGGUAUCGGAUACAGUACAUUAUAGAUAAGGUUGUUACGAAUUUACAGAUGGGUAUUAAUAAAAAGGGUUUCCUGAACCAUAUACAUCUAUUCGCCAGCCAAAAAAGAAUGGUUUAAUUCAACAGCGAGCUUACCAUUCAACUCAUACAACAAUUGCAUAUAGCAGUGCAUGUUUCCUUAAAGAGGAAUUUAUUAACAGACAUAAAUUAUUAAAAACAUAAAAAGUGUAUACACACAAGAGUAAUCUUGCAUGGUAUGUGGAUGUGUGAAGUUUGAAGUUUACUUCAAUUAUGCUACAAAGAGUAGGUCGAGAAAUAUUCCAACUUAACGUGAAAAUACAGUUUCUGGACUUUUCCACGAUAUAACAGUUACCCACACGGUGAAAAAAAAAGAAAAAGAAAUAUAAUACUUUAAAAACUUAACAUUAUGAAACGGCCAAUAUUGCGUCAGCUGUGCAGAUUUUUGCGUUUGGUUAUACUUGCAAUAUAGACAGAUAUACUGUUAACUGUUGUGUCAAAACGUUUGACAAUAUGUGUGAGUGAGAAAUAAUGGAAUAACCUGUUGGUUAUUAUGAUAUAAUUACAAGCAUCCGUACGUCAAACCGUUAUUAAACCGACAACAUACAUAAAAAUUCAACCCGUAUUAAUAUAUAAUUAUGGUCAUUCCAAGGGUUAUUUAAGGAAACUGAAAAGUGUGUUCUUUUGCGCAAAAAAUACACGAGUGCUUUUCAGCGAUGUCAACAAGCCAAUAAUAAAACGCUCAGCUAAUUACUUAUUUUGUAUUGUAAAUACUGUAAACAUCUUCUCAAAUGCUGAUGCUUACAAUUUGUAAUGUUAUUAGAAGGUAAAUGAACAAAACGUUAAACAACGUCCUGUAGGCAAAUGUCACAUAUUUGCAAAAACAAAUGUCAAUGACGAUUAUUACGAAGAGUUAAUUUCACAGAUAAAGCGUUCUAAACGUUAACUAACACAUGCAUUUUAAGUUCCCACCUCUCUUGAUAAUGCUGGUCUUCACUGUUGAUGUUUCUGCCGAUUUAUACACAUGUCAAACGUUGUUGAUUCUGCAAAGACAAUAGUGCAGUAAAGUCAAGGUCACGAGCAGUAAUUUAAAAAUGUUGAUUCAGGAAAUACACAUGAAUGUACAUAGCUUUUUUAUUGGUUUAAUUCAAUUUUUAACAACUGAAUAAUUUGAAUGAUUCCUUUUUUAAAAAAUCAUUUUUGGCGUCUGUAUAUUUUUGAUUACUCUGAAUCUUAAUGAAAUUAUGUACAAUUUGUUAUAAUUUAAAUUACCUUUUAAUUGCUACAAUUUGGAACGGUACAUUGGCUAUUGUUUCAAAGCCACUAAAAGUCAUAUUGUGCGUUAAUCAGGGGGAUCCAAAUAUGUAUGAUUGUAUAUUUUGCAUAUACGAAUUUGACAUAAUAGAUUGUUAUGAUUCAAUAAAUCUUAUGAUCAGCGUCAUUGGAUGCAUUUGUGCAAUACUAUCCGCGAUUAAAUUUCUUGUUUUAAAAUUGACAAAUUCAUUUAAAUUGUUCUGUCAUUAGAUAACUGCACUUAUGUCAAAAUAGAUAUUUUCCAAUAUGCAUAUCAGUACGCGUAGACAAUCUGAAUCUGUCUCAUUAUAGUAACAUUGCGGAGAAAAAUAUAUUAAAGCCGUAUAAGGUUUUACAAUGCCACUCUUGGCACUGCAAUGCGGAUGUUAUAUUUUUAAUUAGAAACAACCUGUUUCUAAGUGUCACUAUCUCAAGGUGUUUAAAUUCCUUUUCAGUUAGCUAAUAUGUAUUUGCAGAGCGCUAUAAUUUGUGCGAUGGAUUUCUGUCUCAUGAUAAAUUGUGCACAAUAAUUGUAAUUAUAGUAAUAAGAAUAUAAACAACAAUCGAUGUGUUUGUAAAACACUAUGUCCCUAUAUAUUUGACCUUUGACCUUGAAGGAUGACCUUGACCUUAAUCUUUCACCACUCACAAUGUGCAGCUCCAUGAGAUACACAUGCAUACCACAUAUCAAGUUGCUGUCUUCAAUAUUGAAAAAGUGUAAAUUAAAUUAGCGAGUUUGACCCAUAUAGUUGACCUUUGACCUUGAAGGAUGACCUUGACCUUGACGUUACACCACUCAAAAUGUGCAGCUCUAUGAGAUACACAUGCAUGUCAAAUAUGAAGUUGCUAUCUUCAAUAUUGCAAAAGUUGUUGCAAAUGUUAAAGUUUACACAAACAAACACACAAACCAACCAACCAACAAACCAACCAACAGACAGGGCAAAAACAAUAUGUCCCCCACUAUAGUGGUGGGGGACAUAAAAAGAGAUCUCUCGCAUCAUCACUGACGCAAACGUUUCAUUGAGCCAAUUUAAUAUAACAUGCACGAGCGCGUGUAGGAGAUAAAGAGCAAUAUGAUAAGCGUUACAAAAUAUAGCGUCAUUUAUUGGACAUGGUGGAAUGACAACGCAACACAAUGGUAGCAGGAUUUGUUAAUAUAUCUUGGAUAUUUCGGUUCGAAGUGUCUUUUCUACUUAUACAGUCUAAGUAAAAAUAGUACCAGACAAUUUUAUUGUCGUUAUAUGACUGGUUUGAACGCAUUUCAAUCGAUUAGGAGCAUGAUUUGUACUCCAAGCAAAUGUUUUCGUAGAAGAACAUGUAUGUUUUUAAAUGAUCUAUAACGAUGCACAUUUGGUGUUAUGUUGCGAUUGUUUUCUUGGCAUUUUUGCCUUAAAAACAAUAUUAAUUUUGUUUAAAAAAUCUAAGAAUAAUUUUCAAUAUGUCAUCUUUUCCACCAUAAUUUUAUUUUAUAUAAUUUACCGCUGCUAUUCACUAUACAUAAUGUUUGGUAAUGCCAAUAAAAAUUACAAGGUUA